UACGAAGGGGGCUAGCGUUGCUCGGAAUCACUGGGCGUAAAGCGCACGUAGGCGGCUUUCUAAGUCAGGGGUGAAAUCCUGGAGCUCAACUCCAGAACUGCCUUUGAUACUGGAGAGCUUGAGUCCGGAAGAGGUGAGUGGAACUCCCAGUGUAGAGGUGAAAUUCGUAGAUAUUGGGAAGAACACCGGUGGCGAAGGCGGCGCUCUGGACCGAGACUGACGCUGAGGCGCGAAGGCGUGGGGAGCAAACAGG
Molecule: ribosomal RNA, 253 nt
Filed under: uncultured bacterium
Lineage: Bacteria
Description: partial 16S ribosomal RNA
Rfam family: Bacterial small subunit ribosomal RNA
Source: RNAcentral